AUCAAACUUCGUGAUAGCUGGUUCUCUCCGAAAUAUAUUUAGGUAUAGCGUUGUGUCGUAAUAUAAGGGGGUAGAGCACUGAAUGGGCUAGGGCAUACACCAAUGUACCAAACCCUAUCAAACUCCGAAUACCUUAUAUGUAAUCACAGCAGUCAGGCGGCGAGUGAUAAAAUCCGUCGUCAAGAGGGAAACAACCCAGACUACCAGCUAAGGUCCCUAAAUCUUACUUAAGUGGAAAACGAUGUGAAGUUACUUAAACAACCAGGAGGUUGGCUUAGAAGCAGCCAUCCUUUAAAGAAAGCGUAAUAGCUCACUGGUCUAGUGAUUUUGCGCGGAAAAUAUAACGGGGCUAAAGUAAGUACCGAAGCUGUAGACUUAGUUUACUAAGUGGUAGGAGAGCGUUCUAUUUGCGUCGAAGGUAUACCGGUAAGGAGUGCUGGAGCGAAUAGAAGUGAGCAUGCAGGCAUGAGUAGCGAUAAUUAAUGUGAGAAUCAUUAACGCCGUAAACCCAAGGUUUCCUACGCGAUGCUCGUCAUCGUAGGGUUAGUCGGGUCCUAAGUCGAGUCCGAAAGGGGUAGACGAUGGCAAAUUGGUUAAUAUUCCAAUACCAACAUUAGUGUGCGAUGGAAGGACGCUUAGGGCUAAGGGGGCUAGCGGAUGGAAGUGCUAGUCUAAGGUCGUAGGAGGUUAUACAGGCAAAUCCGUAUAACAAUACUCCGAGAACUGAAAGGCUUUUUGAAGUCUUCGGAUG
This 751-nucleotide ribosomal RNA is filed under the name Salmonella enterica subsp. enterica serovar Infantis. Its description in RNAcentral is "partial 23S ribosomal RNA". It matches the Rfam family "Bacterial large subunit ribosomal RNA", at positions 832 to 1599 of the family's 2925-position model. Lineage: Bacteria; Pseudomonadati; Pseudomonadota; Gammaproteobacteria; Enterobacterales; Enterobacteriaceae. The record is from RNAcentral.